RNAcentral lists this transfer RNA (78 nucleotides) under Devosia sp. A8/3-2. RNAcentral's name for it is "tRNA-Ile". It matches the Rfam family "tRNA". Rfam says of the family: Transfer RNA (tRNA) molecules are approximately 80 nucleotides in length. Their secondary structure includes four short double-helical elements and three loops (D, anti-codon, and T loops). The record is from RNAcentral. Lineage: Bacteria; Pseudomonadati; Pseudomonadota; Alphaproteobacteria; Hyphomicrobiales; Devosiaceae.
UGGCCCGUAGCUCAGGUGGUUAGAGCGCACGCCUGAUAAGCGUGAGGUCGACAGUUCUGAGUCUGUCCGGGCCAACCA